UACGAAGGGGGCUAGCGGUGCUCGGAAUCACUGGGCGUAAAGGGUGCGUAGGCGGAUGAUUAAGUCAGAGGUGAAAGCCUGGAGCUCAACUCCAGAACUGCCUUUGAUACUGAUUGUCUUGAGUUCGAUAGAGGUGAGUGGAACUCCGAGUGUAGAGGUGAAAUUCGUAGAUAUUCGGAAGAACACCAGUGGCGAAGGCGGCUCACUGGAUCGAUACUGACGCUGAGGCACGAAAGCGUGGGGAGCAAACAGG
Molecule: ribosomal RNA, 253 nt
Filed under: uncultured bacterium
Lineage: Bacteria
Description: partial 16S ribosomal RNA
Rfam family: Bacterial small subunit ribosomal RNA
Source: RNAcentral